RNAcentral lists this ribosomal RNA (513 nucleotides) under Hepatozoon sp. RNAcentral describes it as "SSU rRNA". It matches the Rfam family "Eukaryotic small subunit ribosomal RNA", at positions 502 to 1013 of the family's 1831-position model. Lineage: Eukaryota; Apicomplexa; Hepatozoidae. The record is from RNAcentral.
UUUGUAAUUGGAAUGAUAGAAAUUUAAACACUUUUUAAAGUAUCAAUUGGAGGGCAAGUCUGGUGCCAGCAGCCGCGGUAAUUCCAGCUCCAAUAGCGUAUAUUAAAAUUGUUGCAGUUAAAAAGCUCGUAGUUGAAUUUCUGCUAAAAGUAACCGGUCUGCUUUGAAUAAAGGUGGUAUCUUGGUGUGUUUUUAGCAAUAAUGUCCUUUGAAAUGUUUUUUACUUUAUUGUAAUAAAUUAUAUUCAGGAUUUUUACUUUGAGAAAAUUAGAGUGUUUCUAGCAGGCUAACGCUUUGAAUACUGCAGCAUGGAAUAAUAAAAUAGGAUUUUGGUUCUACAUUAUUGGUUUUAAGAACUAAAUUAAUGAUUGAUAGGAACAGUUGGGGGCAUUUGUAUUUAACUGUCAGAGGUGAAAUUCUUAGAUUUGUUAAAGACAAACUACUGCGAAAGCAUUUGCCAAAGAUGUUUUCAUUAAUCAAGAACGAAAGUUAGGGGAUCGAAGACGAUCAGAU